CUGGGAAAGACCUGACGUGUACUGCAGCCUCGUCUCCGUGCAUUUGUAUCGAUUUAGAUAACCCGCUUACAGGAUACGACUAUAACAGUGAUUGUACAUGUCGCAUAAAGUCACAACAUGCAGCAUCCUGCGCUCUUUCGUCAUGAGCGACGCGAUGCGGUUUACGUGCACGUACGCGACUUUUCUGUGACACACAACGUUUGGUGGCCACAACUUUUUGCAGGAAGUGAAGCGGCUCGGGGACUUUCCUCACUGCAGAAACAGCAGAUUAAAUCCAUAAUUCCCGUGAGAAGCGGCAGAGGUAAGACGUGUGUGUGUGUGUGUGUGUGUGUGUGUGUGUGUGUGUGUGUGUGUGUGUGUGUGUGUCUUUGCUGGCUCGCUGUGUGUUUCACAGUAACUCUGCAGGCUUUGUCUCACUCAAUGAUUCAUAAUCCACCGAUUCGCUGCUGUUCUUUGGCUCCAACGUCCGCGAGCUUCAAGCACCGACAAAAUGUCCCACUCGGUCCAAAGGUUGUGGACAAACCUGCACGUCAUAUGUGACUCUUCCCCACCAGCUAAAGCAGGUUGGUGUGAAGGUGUGAAGGUGUGGACUCUGCUAUGAAUCAGGCUGAGGACCCAGAGGACGGAGUCCCUCCCUCUGAAGCCCCUCUGUGUGGGGAACAUGACAGCCAGACCAAAGCUCAGAGGAUCCAUCAGAGACCAGGACCUGGACCUGGACCCAGCUGUGUGUCCAUGAAGAGUAACCAGUCUAUGAGUCAUCCUCUAAAAUUCAAAAUUCAAGAUGUUGGUCCCUCUGUUGAUGCAAGGUGAGGGUCUCAGGCUGAUGAUGAGGUGUUUCUACCAGACUCUCUGGUGGAGGUUCUGGGUUUCUUGCUCCAGGGCCCUUCAGCAGUGUCCAGUGAGGGAGGGAGAGCUCCAUGGAGGACUUGGUGAGACCUGUUGGGACUAAACCAAACUGACUGGUGAAGAAAACAGUGAGCUGAAAGACUGAGCUGUUGAUUCUCAGUGGGACCAGCAGGACCAGUAGACCUAAACCACUACAAGGAGUCAUGUGGUCCACAUCCAGACCUCACGUCAUGGACCUUUGCCUUGUUUUGGUCUCUGUGAGGACGGACACCAUGUGAGCUGAUGCUUCAUGAUUAGAUGAUGAUGUGAUGAUGUAAUCUCAGUGUUUCUUUCAGGUCACAUCAGCAGAGAGGAAAGUCUCCUGAACCCAGAUGUUUGUCUAUGAAGAGUGAUCAGUCUAUUGGUCGAUAUAUUGACUUCAAAGAUGGACGCCGUUCUUAUGACCCAGACAGGCAGAUCUCAUCCAUGUCACAAUUGAGAAUGAUUUGCAGAGCUGCCAGGAUCCAUCAGAGACCAGGACCUGGAGCUGGACCUGAUCCUGAACCUGGA
Long non-coding RNA from Gasterosteus aculeatus aculeatus (three-spined stickleback), 1395 nucleotides. The record is from Ensembl. Lineage: Eukaryota; Metazoa; Chordata; Actinopteri; Perciformes; Gasterosteidae.